RNAcentral lists this ribosomal RNA (459 nucleotides) under uncultured bacterium. RNAcentral describes it as "SSU rRNA". It matches the Rfam family "Bacterial small subunit ribosomal RNA", at positions 26 to 518 of the family's 1533-position model. The record is from RNAcentral.
AGAAUCAACGCUGGCGGCGUGCCUAACACAUGCAAGUCGAACGAGAAAGGGUAGCAAUACCUGAGUAAAGUGGCGCACGGGUGAGUAACACGUGACUAACCUACCUUUUAGUGGGGGGAUAACCUAGGGAAACCUGGGCUAAUACCGCAUAAUACCUACGGGUCAAAGCAGCAAUGCGCUGAAUGAGGGGGUCGCGGUCGAUUAGUUAGUUGGCAGGGUAAUGGCCUACCAAGACUGUGAUCGAUAUCCGGCCUGAGAGGGCGCACGGACACACUGGAACUGAAACACGGUCCAGACUCCUACGGGAGGCAGCAGUGGGAAUUUGCGCAAUGGGGGAAACCCUGACGCAGCAACGCCGCGUGGAGGAUGAAGUCCCUUGGGACGUAAACUCCUUUCGAUCGGGACGAUAAUGACGGUACCGGAAGAAGAAGCCCCGGCUAACUUCGUGCCAGCAGCCGC